Molecule: ribosomal RNA, 464 nt
Filed under: uncultured bacterium
Lineage: Bacteria
Description: bacterial SSU rRNA
Rfam family: Bacterial small subunit ribosomal RNA
Source: RNAcentral
GAUGAACGCUAGCGACAGGCCUAACACAUGCAAGUCGAGGGGCAGCACGAGGUAGCAAUACUUGGGUGGCGACCGGCGGACGGGUGAGUAACACGUAUGCAACCUGCCCGUAAUCGGGGGAUAACCCGGAGAAAUUCGGACUAACACUCCAUGCACCUGAAAUGUCACAUGACGAAUCAGGUAAACGCAAGGAUUACGGAUGGGCAUGCGGAUGAUUAGCUAGUUGGUAGGGUAACGGCCUACCAAGGCAAUGACGGGUAGGGGACCUGAGAGGGUGGCCCCCCACAAUGGAACUGAAACACGGUCCAUACACCUACGGGUGGCAGCAGUAGGGAAUAUUAGAAAUGGGCGGAAGCCUGAUCUAGCAACACCGCGUGUGCGAUGAAGGCCUUCGGGUCGUAAAGCACUUUUUGGAGGGAAUAGGAAGGAAGGUACCUCCAGAAUAAGUCUCGGCUAACUACGUG